Molecule: transfer RNA, 74 nt
Filed under: Pedosphaera parvula Ellin514
Lineage: Bacteria; Pseudomonadati; Verrucomicrobiota; Pedosphaerae; Pedosphaerales; Pedosphaeraceae
Rfam family: tRNA
About the family: Transfer RNA (tRNA) molecules are approximately 80 nucleotides in length. Their secondary structure includes four short double-helical elements and three loops (D, anti-codon, and T loops).
Source: Rfam by way of RNAcentral
GCUCCUGUAGCCCAAUUAGCAGAGGCAACGAACUUAAAAUCCGCAGAGUGUCAGUGCAAAUCUGACCGGGAGCA